RNAcentral lists this ribosomal RNA (372 nucleotides) under uncultured organism. RNAcentral's name for it is "partial 16S ribosomal RNA". It matches the Rfam family "Bacterial small subunit ribosomal RNA", at positions 527 to 896 of the family's 1533-position model. The record is from RNAcentral.
GUAGGUGGCAAGCGUUGUCCGGAAUUAUGGGCGUAAAGCGCGCGCAGGUGGGUUCUUUAAGUCUGAUGUGAAAGCCCCCGGGCUCAACCGGGGAGGGUCAUUGGAAACUGGGGAACUUGAGUGCAGGAGAGGAAAGUGGAAUUCCACGUGUAGCGGUGAAAUGCGUAGAUAUGUGGAGGAACACCAGUGGCGAAGGCGACUUUCUGGCCUGUAACUGACACUGAGGCGCGAAAGCGUGGGGAGCAAACAGGAUUAGAUACCCUGGUAGUCCACGCCGUAAACGAUGAGUGCUAAGUGUUGGGGGGUUUCCGCCCCUCAGUGCUGCAGCUAACGCAUUAAGCACUCCGCCUGGGGAGUACGGUCGCAAGACUG